GAAUACAGUGUUGUGUGUGAAUUUCAUUAAAACGAUUAUCCAAGCGUGUUUAUUUGUUAUCGGCAUAUUGAUAUCCAUUGGUUUAUUGUAUGCCCGGUUUUCCAGUAGUCGGUUCAGAAUAGACGGAAGUCGAUUCGGAACUGCGUUUUUCCACUGGCCUUUAAAAAUAAAUUAAAAGUUUUAAAAUUCAUGAUUUCUCUAUGGUGAUCUAUUCACCCCCUCUCGAUCACCUGCCACACCGUAUAACAAUCCUAACUAGUAUUCACAUGUCACCAAAAUUGUAACUAAUUGAUCUAAUCAAUUCCACCUUAACUCAAUUAGCAUCGGUUGAUAACAAUUUGAAUAACUAACUGAUUCAUAACACUUCUCUAAUUCACAUAACAAUAGCUAAAUUUCCAAAUCUAAUAUCACAAUAAUAACAACUAACUGAUUCAUAACACUUCUCUAAUUCACAUAACAAUAGCUAAAUUUCCAAAUCUAAUAUCACAAUAAUAACAACUAACUUAUACACUAACAAUCACGAACUAUAAUAUUGCAUUAAGAUAACUUUAUCAACAUAGUUCAUACUAACAACAUCAAAUCCUUUUACACUAACAAUCCAACUUAUUAACUAUAACUAAUUUCUAACUAACAAACAAUUCUAACAUUAACUUUCAAUAUUAACAGUCAAUCUAACAACU
RNAcentral lists this long non-coding RNA (680 nucleotides) under Lathyrus oleraceus (garden pea). RNAcentral's name for it is "Pisum sativum (pea) long non-coding RNA (PSAT_LNC013847)". Lineage: Eukaryota; Viridiplantae; Streptophyta; Magnoliopsida; Fabales; Fabaceae. The record is from RNAcentral.